AGUGAACGCUGGCGGUAGGCCUAACACAUGCAAGUCGAACGGCAGCACAGUAAGAGCUUGCUCUUACGGGUGGCGAGUGGCGGACGGGUGAGGAAUACAUCGGAAUCUUCUUUUUCGUGGGGGAUAACGUAGGGAAACUUACGCUAAUACCGCAUACUACCUACGGGUGAAAUCAGGGGAUCUUCGGACCUUGCCCGAUUGAAUGAGCCGAUGUCGGAUUAGCUAGUUGGCGGGGUAAAGGCCCACCAAGGCGACGAUCCGUAGCUGGUCUGAGAGGAUGAUCAGCCACACUGGAACUGAGACACGGUCCAGACUCCUACGGGAGGCAGCAGUGGGGAAUAUUGGACAAUGGGCGCAAGCCUGAUCCAGCCAUACCGCGUGAGUGAAGAAGGCCUUCGGGUUGUAAAGCCCUUUUGUUGGGAAAGAAAAGCAGCAGGUUAAUACCCCGCUGUUCUGACGGUACCCAAAGAAUAAGCACCGGCUAACUUCGUG
RNAcentral lists this ribosomal RNA (492 nucleotides) under uncultured bacterium. RNAcentral describes it as "partial 16S ribosomal RNA". It matches the Rfam family "Bacterial small subunit ribosomal RNA", at positions 29 to 507 of the family's 1533-position model. The record is from RNAcentral.